GAUGAACGCUGGCGGCGCACCUAACACAUGCAAGUCGAACGGUUAAAGCAUCUUCGGAUGUGCAUAAAGUGGCGAACGGCUGAGUAACACGUGGGCAACCUGCCCCUCGCAUCGGGACAGCCUCGGGAAACCGUGGUUAAUACCGGAUACUCCGCCACCCCCGCAUGGGGGAGGCGGGAAAGCCCAGACGGCGAGGGAUGGGCCCGCGGCCUGUUAGCUUGUUGGUGGGGCAGUGGCCCACCAAGGCGAUGAUGGGUAGCCGGGUUGAGAGACCGACCGGCCAGAUUGGGACUGAGACACGGCCCAGACUCCUACGGGAGGCAGCAGUGGGGAAUCUUGCACAAUGGGCGAAAGCCUGAUGCAGCGACGCCGCGUGCGGGACGAAGGCCUUCGGGUCGUAAACCGCUUUCAGCAGGGACGAGGCCGCAAGGUGACGGUACCUGCAGAAGAAGCCCCGGCUAACUACGUGCCAGCAGCCGCGGUAAUACGUAGGGGGCGAGCGUUAUCCGGAUUCAUUGGGCGUAAAGCGCGCGUAGGCGGCCUGCUAGGUCGGGAGUCAAAUCCGGGGGCUCAACCCCCGUCCGCUCCCGAUACCGGCUGGCUUGAGUCUGGUAGGGGAGGGUGGAAUUCCCAGUGUAGCGGUGGAAUGCGCAGAUAUUGGGAAGAACACCGGUGGCGAAGGCGGCCUUCUGGGCCACGACUGACGCUGAGGCGCGAAAGCUAGGGGAGCGAACAGG
This 737-nucleotide ribosomal RNA is filed under the name uncultured Coriobacteriaceae bacterium. RNAcentral describes it as "bacterial SSU rRNA". It matches the Rfam family "Bacterial small subunit ribosomal RNA", at positions 28 to 776 of the family's 1533-position model. The record is from RNAcentral. Lineage: Bacteria; Bacillati; Actinomycetota; Coriobacteriia; Coriobacteriales; Coriobacteriaceae.